This 1269-nucleotide long non-coding RNA is filed under the name Homo sapiens (human). RNAcentral describes it as "non-protein coding lnc-KLF5-13:1". The record is from RNAcentral. Lineage: Eukaryota; Metazoa; Chordata; Mammalia; Primates; Hominidae.
UCUGUGCUCUCAAAUAUUUGGAAAAAUUUUGGUUACACGAUGUUAAACAUCUUUCUUCAACCCUCCAAAGAGGGUGCUGCAGUGGCUGUUAAUUUGUUAAUUGGCAUUGUGAAUCUGGGAGACUGGGCCACAUAGUGUACAGUGGUUUCCCAAAAUAUGUAGUCACUGAGUUUUUUCAAACUCACUUUCUAACACUCUGGGAAUAUUUUCCAAGGAACAUGAGUUUCGAAAUGCUCCUUUGGGACUUACGUACCGCCCAGAACUCCUGCAACAUUCCCUAGUCAAUUGACUGUUUUAUACCUCCAGUCUGACCUCAAGCUUCCAAUGCCUUGUCUCCUAUGCUUGCUUCUUUUUUCCCUAAGAAAACAGAAGCCCCUAGGAGUGAUUUUGCACACAUACUUUCACAGCUCAGCUACCCAUCUUCUGAUAGCUCUGCCUUUCCUCCUCCUACCAUGGGUAAACCAUCACUGGUCCUAUCUAAAGCCAACUCCUCCAUUUUGAGCUUCUUUAUCUUCUCACCCAUUUAUGUAUAUUGCUCCAAUAAUUGUUUUCUCACUUCUUUUUUUUCUUUUUUUUUGAGACAGAGUCUCACUCUGUCGCCCAGGCUGGAGUGCUCAGGUGUGAGCCACCACCCCCGGCCUGUUCUCUCACUUUUGCAUCACUAGUUUUUCCUUCUCCACUGAAUUCCUCCCUUCAGCAUACAACAUGCUAUAAUUUAUCCAGUCUUAGAAAAUAAAUUUAAAAACCAUUCUCCUGACCUCACAGUUUCCUCCAGCUCCCAUCCCAUUUCUCUGUUCUUUGUCACAAUGAAAGUCUGCCAAAACUGCUCUUUUUUUUUUUUUUUUUUUUUUUCUGUACUCAAUUUCUCUCCUCCCAUCUUCUCUGGAAACAAAUUCAGUAAGACUUUCACUCCCCCCCCACCCCACCCCGCACUCUGCUUACUAAAUCUGCAUUGGCUAAGGUCAACAACAAUUAACUCUAGUGUUUAAACUAGUGGUAAACACUAAACUUCAUCAUCUUGACCUAUAAGCAGCACCUGGCACUGAUUGAUAGCUCAAGAAGGUGGAGUUUAACACAACCCUGAUAGUUAAAGAGAUAGUUUAGCACCUUGUCCUCCUUGAAACAUUUUCCUUCUCUUGCCUUCCAGAGAACCCACAUUCUCCAGUUUUUUUGUUUUGUUUUGUUUUGUUUUGAUGCUCUGAUCUUGUCAGUGUUGGAGUGUUCAUGUUUAUUCUUGGAUCUCUUUUGUUUUUGUUUUGAAAUGGAGUC